RNAcentral lists this ribosomal RNA (195 nucleotides) under uncultured eukaryote. Its description in RNAcentral is "partial 18S ribosomal RNA". It matches the Rfam family "Eukaryotic small subunit ribosomal RNA", at positions 1 to 202 of the family's 1831-position model. The record is from RNAcentral.
CACAACCUGGUUGAUCCUGCCAGUAGUCAUACGCUCGUCUCAAAGAUUAAGCCAUGCAUGUCUAAGUAUAAAUAUUUUACUUUGAAACUGCGAACGGCUCAUUAUAUCAGUUAUAGUUUAUUUGAUAGUCCCUUACUACUUGGAUACCCGUAGUAAUUCUAGAGCUAAUACAUGCGUCAAUACCCUUCUGGGGUA